RNAcentral lists this ribosomal RNA (180 nucleotides) under Rhodothermaceae bacterium. Its description in RNAcentral is "partial 16S ribosomal RNA". It matches the Rfam family "Bacterial small subunit ribosomal RNA", at positions 1360 to 1533 of the family's 1533-position model. The record is from RNAcentral. Lineage: Bacteria; Pseudomonadati; Rhodothermota; Rhodothermia; Rhodothermales; Rhodothermaceae.
CGGUGAAUACGUUCCCGGGCCUUGUACACACCGCCCGUCACACCAUGGGAGUUGGUUCUACCCGAAGCCGGUGCGCUAACCGCAAGGAGGCAGCCGUCCACGGUAGGGUCAGCGACUGGGGUGAAGUCGUAACAAGGUAGCCGUAGGGGAACCUGCGGCUGGAUCACCUCCUUUCUAAGG